UUGGAGGGCAAGUCUGGUGCCAGCAGCCGCGGUAAUUCCAGCCCCAAUAGCGUAUAUUAAAGUUGUUGCAGUUAAAAAGCUCGUAGUUGAAUUUCGGGGUCAGUAGAUUGGUCAUGCCACUGGUAUGUACUGGUCUCACUGAUUCCUCCUUCCUGAUGAGCCGUAAUGCCAUUAAUUUGGUGUUGCGAGGAAUCUGGACUGUUACUUUGAAAAAAUUAGAGUGUUUAAAGCAGGCUAACGCUUGAAUACAUUAGCAUGGAAUAAUGAAAUAGGACGUUCGAUCUUAUUUUGUUGGUUUCUAAGAUUGACGUAAUGAUUAAUAGGGAUAGUUGGGGGCAUUAGUAUUCAAUUGUCAGAGGUGAAAUUCUUGGAUUUAUUGAAGACUAACUACUGCGAAAGCAUUUGCCAAGGAUGUUUUCAUUAAUCAAGAACGAAAGUUAGGGGAUCGAAGACGAUCAGAUACCGUCGUAGUCUUAACCAUAAACUAUGCCGACUAGGGAUCGGAUGAUGUUAAUUUUUUAAUGACUCAUUCGGCGCCUUACGGGAAAC
This 549-nucleotide ribosomal RNA is filed under the name Glomus sp. VeGlo10. Its description in RNAcentral is "SSU rRNA". It matches the Rfam family "Eukaryotic small subunit ribosomal RNA", at positions 548 to 1098 of the family's 1831-position model. Lineage: Eukaryota; Fungi; Glomeromycota; Glomeromycetes; Glomerales; Glomeraceae. The record is from RNAcentral. RNAcentral also lists the same sequence under 1 other name.